UGGGGAAUAUUGCACAAUGGGCGCAAGCCUGAUGCAGCCAUGCCGCGUGUAUGAAGAAGGCCUUCGGGUUGUAAAGUACUUUCAGUCGGGAGGAAGGUGUCAAGGUUAAUAACCUUGGCAAUUGACGUUACCGACAGAAGAAGCACCGGCUAACUCCGUGCCAGCAGCCGCGGUAAUACGGAGGGUGCAAGCGUUAAUCGGAAUUACUGGGCGUAAAGCGCACGCAGGCGGUUGAUUGAGUCAGAUGUGAAAUCCCCGGGCUUAACCCGGGAAUUGCAUCUGAUACUGGUCAGCUAGAGUCUUGUAGAGGGGGGUAGAAUUCCAUGUGUAGCGGUGAAAUGCGUAGAGAUGUGGAGGAAUACCGGUGGCGAAGGCGGCCCCCUGGACAAGACUGACGCUCAGGUGCGAAAGCGUGGGGAGCAAACAGG
RNAcentral lists this ribosomal RNA (428 nucleotides) under Chloroflexota bacterium. RNAcentral describes it as "Chloroflexi bacterium partial 16S ribosomal RNA". It matches the Rfam family "Bacterial small subunit ribosomal RNA", at positions 355 to 776 of the family's 1533-position model. Lineage: Bacteria; Bacillati; Chloroflexota. The record is from RNAcentral.